AAUCCAUUAUAAAGGUAUUUGUAAUUUACACUUAUAUUUAUAACAAUAACCAAAGUUAAAAUGCAUUAUGUUAUUUGAAGGUUUGUUUGUUGUGUUUUUAUGCUUAUUUUAAAGCUGUAUUAUUAGCAGAGUGUUAGUUUAGGAUAAGGUUUAUGGUUAGUAGAAUAAGUUGACUUGUAGUUGCAAAGUUCCUUAUAAUCAGUUGAAUGUCUGUUGGUGGAGCAUCAAAAUAAAGUUGUAGUAGAUAUUAAGCAGAUGGUCUACUAAUACUUGUUACCCUUUUAGUUUUCAUCGACACCUUGUUUUCUGUGUUUCUUCUGUUUUGUUUUAGUUCCUGUGUGCCCUUAUUUGGUUAUCCUCCUGGUCUUGUUUAGCUUGAUUAGUUUACUUCCAUCACCUGUGUUUAGUUAAUGAUCCUCAUCUGUCAAUGUAUUUAAGUUGCUCCCUUUCAGUCACUCUCGGUUCCUUUACUGUUAUAGUAUGUUGUGGUUUCCCUUGGUUAGCUGUCUGAGUUUGAGGUCCGUUAUUAAACAGAGUUUUUUUUUUUACCUGUUGUGUCGUUUGCCUUGCUUCUCAACACAACCCCUGACAGAUGACCGAACCACGUAAAAUGAACUGGCCUGCGGACAAGCUAUUUAACAUCCAGCAGGGUGGAUGGCCUUUGGAGCUAUAUGUGGAGGAGUUCCUGAGUGUUUUCCAUCUGGAAACCUGGACAAGACAAUGAAGGCACAUCCUCCAUGGCCCCCUAAAAGACCACCACCACCCUGGAGCCUUCCUGUCCUGUGUUGCUGCACCUAACAAUCCUCCAGGGUGUCCACCCUCCUACUCCUCUGGUUGGUGUCUAGCGCGAGGACGUGCUUUAUGAAAGGGAUUUGUUAGAAACCACUGGCCAGAUCUAUGGAUGUGAACAUCAUCACUCUUUUGAAAACAUCUACUCCACUGUGGGAAAAACUAACUUCUCAUGUCCUAAAGCCUGCAUGGUGUUAUUUUUUUCAGGUCAACCUUUCUGGAGUGGCCUGAUGUCACUUUUAUUAAAACAAGCUGAACAGAAAAAGCAAUCAUGUGAGCUUUAUAGCCAUUAACUGUAACCUUUCCAUGCCUUAAGCUCAUGUCUGCUCUCUGUCUCGCUGUUCUGGUCAGAAUCGCAUAUACGACUUUGUUUUCAUUCCCAGGUUUAGUCAUUAAUUUACUUCCUCACUUCUCAGACCUUGAGUUUGUUGCAUUUAGAAGCUGCAUAUGAUCUGAGGCAAACUGUAGAUUUUAUAAUGCCACUCAUUUUAAGUAAUUCAGAUUGUGAUAUUAGUGCUCACAUCAAGUUAAUGUGGAUAUUUCUAAUG
This is a long non-coding RNA of Carassius auratus (goldfish), 1337 nucleotides long. RefSeq lists it as uncharacterized. The transcript is spliced from 3 exons. Lineage: Eukaryota; Metazoa; Chordata; Actinopteri; Cypriniformes; Cyprinidae. The record is from RefSeq and is a predicted model, not a curated record.